RNAcentral lists this ribosomal RNA (492 nucleotides) under uncultured bacterium. RNAcentral describes it as "partial 16S ribosomal RNA". It matches the Rfam family "Bacterial small subunit ribosomal RNA", at positions 29 to 507 of the family's 1533-position model. The record is from RNAcentral.
AGUGAACGCUGGCGGUAGGCCUAACACAUGCAAGCCGAACGGCAGCACAGUUAGAGCUUUCUCUUACGGGUUGCGAGUGGCGGACGUGUGAGGAAUACAUCGUAAUCUACUCAUUCGUGGGGGUUAACGUAGGGGAAAUUACGCUAAUAUAGCAUCCUACCUACGGGUGAAAGCAUGGUUACAUCGGACGUUGCCCCAGUGAGUGAUCCGGUGGCGUAUGAGGUAGUCGGCGGGGGAGAGGACCACCAAGGCGACGAUCCGUAGCUGUUCUGAGAGGGUGAUCAGCCACACUGGAACUGGGACACGGUUCAGACUCCUACGGGAGGCAGAAGUAGGGGAUAUUGGACAAUGAGCACGAGCGUAAUCCAGACAUACCGCGUGGGUGAAGAAGGACUUCGGGUUGUAAAGCCCUUUUGUUGGGAAAGAAAAGCAACAAGUUAAUACCGCGCUGUUCUGACGGUACCCAAAGAAUAAGCAACGGCUAACUUCGUG